Molecule: transfer-messenger RNA, 397 nt
Filed under: uncultured Prevotellamassilia sp.
Lineage: Bacteria; Pseudomonadati; Bacteroidota; Bacteroidia; Bacteroidales; Prevotellaceae
Rfam family: transfer-messenger RNA
About the family: Bacterial tmRNA, also known as 10Sa RNA or SsrA, is named for its dual tRNA and mRNA-like properties. Its role is to liberate the mRNA from a stalled ribosome.
Source: RNAcentral
GACUGGAUUUGACAGCAGGUAGAGAUGGCAGGUAAGCAUGCAGUGCGCCUGAAGGUGGGCACUAUAAUCUCGGCUUUCAAAAAUUUAAUUGGCGAAAAUAACUACGCUCUCGCUGCUUGAUCGAAGUAUAGUACAUCAGCUUAAUUCCGACUAACGAUUGUUGGAACGAGACAUCGCUCAAGAGCUCUUUUUCCGAAGCGUCUUGAUUCAGCGGUGCUAUUAUAUCGGGAAUAGUCACGUCUUGGCUUCGCAAGCGUGGCGAAACACUUAGAAGAUAAGGUUGCAGCGCGGGUGGCUUUGGCCUUGUUGCGACACGAAAACCUCAAAGCAAAGAUAAGCAUGUAGAAAGCUUGUUAUUUCCUUGUUUGGACGAGGGUUCAAUCCCCUCCUGGUCCAC